Molecule: ribosomal RNA, 492 nt
Filed under: uncultured bacterium
Lineage: Bacteria
Description: partial 16S ribosomal RNA
Rfam family: Bacterial small subunit ribosomal RNA
Source: RNAcentral
AGUGAACGCUGGCGGUAGGCCUAACACAUGCAAGUCGAACGGCAGCACAGUAAGAGCUUGCUCUUACGGGUGGCGAGUGGCGGACGGGUGAGGAAUACAUCGGAAUCUACUUUUUCGUGGGGGAUAACGUAGGGAAACUUACGCUAAUACCGCAUACGACCUACGGGUGAAAGCAGGGGAUCUUCGGACCUUGCGCGAUUGAAUGAGCCGAUGUCGGAUUAGCUAGUUGGCGGGGUAAAGGCCCACCAAGGCGACGAUCCGUAGCUGGUCUGAGAGGAUGGUCGCCCACACUGGAACUGAGACACGGUCCAGACUCCUACGGGAGGCAGCAGUGGGGAAUAUUGGGCAAUGGGCGCAAGCAUGAUCCAGCCAUACCGCGUGGGUGAAGAAGGCCUUCGGGUUGUAAAGCCCUUUUGUUGGGAAAGAAAAGCAGCAGGUUAAUACCCCGCUGUUCUGACGGUACCCAAAGAAUAAGCACCGGCUAACUUCGUG